Molecule: ribosomal RNA, 262 nt
Filed under: uncultured Methanomicrobiales archaeon
Lineage: Archaea; Methanobacteriati; Methanobacteriota; Methanomicrobia; Methanomicrobiales
Description: partial 16S ribosomal RNA
Rfam family: Archaeal small subunit ribosomal RNA
Source: RNAcentral
UCCGGGAUGGUGGGGACACUGUUGGGACCGCCUCUGGCUAAAGAGGAGGAAGGAAUGGGCAACGGUAGGUCAGCAUGCCCCGAAUUAUCUGGGCUACACGCGGGCUACAAUGGGUGGGACAAUGGGUAUCGACGCCGAAAGGUGAAGGCAAUCUCCUAAACCCAUCCGUAGUUCGGAUUGUGGGCUGCAACUCGCCCACAUGAAGCUGGAAUCUGUAGUAAUCGUGUCUCAAAAUGGCACGGUGAAUAUGUCCCUGCUCCUU